Molecule: long non-coding RNA, 1751 nt
Organism: Scylla paramamosain (green mud crab)
Lineage: Eukaryota; Metazoa; Arthropoda; Malacostraca; Decapoda; Portunidae
Exons: 2
Source: RefSeq, a predicted model, not a curated record
AACAGAGGAUGAAAGUGAACUUGUGGGGUCUCUUUCAAGCAUACCUAUUGGCAGUAGCAGUAGGGCAGUAAUAAGUGAAACUGAGAUAACCUGCUCUGCCAGUGAAGCAGAAUUUUCUUUUAGUGGUAAAACUAGUCUGAGUUGAUGAUCAUACCGUUGAUAAAGAAGAUAAAGCCAGUUCCAAGCAUUGCAUUAGAGACUGGGCACUGAAGCAUAUACAUUCCUCACUUUGCACCAGAGCUGCCGAGAUAACUGAAAUGUGCCGGUGUAACAAGAAAAACUUCCCCCUGACUGUAGUUCUCCCUGGGAAAAGUAGCCUAGGUUAAAUUCCCUUCCCCUCUCUCCCCCGGGAAAAUUGGUCUGGGCUGUUUUUCCUUGGGGGGUAAUUACAGACAUAAGAUAUAUUUCCUCCCUCUUGGCCAUUUCACCCAUUCACACAAUAAAAAAUCAUACCACCGUUUUCAAGUCACCAAAAGGCAAGUAGUGUAAUGUAAUGUAAUGCUUAUGACGUAUGUAAAUGUGACAGGACAACAUCGGUCAUAUGGUACUAUUGUCAAGGGAAGGGGGAGACAAGAAUAAAAGUAGGGAAGGAGACGUUUUAUGUCAGAGAAGCAAGUCCACCGCAAGGACACCCCGUACACAAAACUGUAAUGCAACAAAUACAGUGGUUAUUAAAGUAAAAGGGAGCUCAUGAUAUGUUUUCUUAAGAUUUAUAAUUUUAAGAUUAUAAAUGGAAGUUAAAACAUAUUUCCUUAGCAUUAAAAUUCAAGGUUAAAAGGCUGUCUCCCAGCAGACUUAAAAAUCUGUAAAGAGAACAUUAAAAUGUUCUAAUUUCCUAUUAUAAAGUAAAAAAAAAAAAAUCUUUAAAAGGAACUUCAUGCUGGGUUGGGUUACAUUUGCAACAGCUCCACGAUGCCUUGAGAUUUUCUGUAAGAUCCAAGGCAAGUAGUGUGGUACCAUUCGUAGCAAGAUUUACACUCCACCACUUCACGUCCAUCUGCUGUUAUUUCCUCACCUUCUGGACAAACCCAUGCUCCAGGAAUGUCGUCUUCUUUAGCUUUAAUAGCAGCGUGAAACACUGUAACUGCAUCAUCCAUAUAUUAGGAUCUGGCACCUGGGCCCUGACCAGCAAACAUGAAGCACGAUAACUGAUAUUAUCCACCACAAACUUCACCAAGCAUCAGGAAGGAAGGCAGGCAUGGUGAAUAAUGGCCAACAAGGGUGACUACCCUGAGUAGAAACUAGCAAAGCUGAUGUCCGACAACUCCUGUAGGUGUGUCAAGGAGACCACAAGGUCAAAGAUAGGAGAGGAGACAUGGACCAGGCCCAAAUAGUUGCAGUCAACCCAGGUCGUCCCAGGGUUGUGAGGUGAUGCCAUAUAGACCCCCACAAGGCCAUGGAGGAUGUCAGGACUGUUCCUGUGGAUUCUGCCUCCCACUCCCCACCACCAUCACCUCGACUCCUGUCACUACACCACUACUGUAUAGUCAAGUCCAUGUGGUUGGGUGGCCAGCCACUCCCCCAUCACCUGGGCCCCUACCUACCCCCAUCUCUUACCUGGAUGUCCACCCACCACAAUAAAAGCAGAUAAGCAUUCUGGGAUUAUUUUUUUAGUUUAGUUAGGUGGUAUUGGCCUGGAGGGGAAUUUGGUUUAGACAAGGAUCCUCCUCUGUCUGCUUUUAUUAUUUUUUUUGUUUGUGUUAACUUCUGCUGUGAUACUUGAGAGUGCUAAGUAAAUAUUAAUUUAUUUA